RNAcentral lists this ribosomal RNA (887 nucleotides) under uncultured bacterium. RNAcentral describes it as "bacterial SSU rRNA". It matches the Rfam family "Bacterial small subunit ribosomal RNA", at positions 8 to 916 of the family's 1533-position model. The record is from RNAcentral.
AGAGUUUGAUCCUGGCUCAGGACGAACGCUGGCGGCGUGCCUAACACAUGCAAGUCGAACGAAGAAUGUUUUUCGGAAUAUUCUUAGUGGCGGACGGGUGAGUAACGCGUGAACAAUCUGCCCCGUACAAAGGGAUAGCCUCGGGAAACCGGGAUUAAAACCAUAUAACACUUAACUGCCGCAUGGUAGUGAAGUCAAAUCGAUUAAGAGGUAUGGGAUGAGUUCGCGUCUGAUUAGCUAGUUGGUGAGGUAAGGGCUCACCAAGGCGACGAUCAGUAGCCGGCCUGAGAGGGUGAACGGCCACACUGGAACUGAGACACGGUCCAGACUCCUACGGGAGGCAGCAGUGGGGAAUAUUGCACAAUGGAGGGAACUCUGAUGCAGCGACGCCGCGUGAGUGAAGAAGGUCUUCGGAUCGUAAAACUCUGUCCUUGGUGAAGAAAAGGACGGUAGCCAAGGAGGAAGCCCCGGCUAACUACGUGCCAGCAGCCGCGGUAAUACGUAGGGGGCGAGCGUUGUCCGGAUUUACUGGGCGUAAAGGGUGAGUAGGCGGUUAUAUAUGUCAGGUGUAAAAAGCUAUGGCUUAACCAUAGUAAGCACUUGAAACUGUAUGACUUGAGUGCAGGAGAGGUAAGCGGAAUUCCUAGUGUAGCGGUGAAAUGCGUAGAUAUUAGGAGGAACACCGGUGGCGAAGGCGGCUUACUGGACUGUAACUGACGCUGAGUCACGAAAGCGUGGGUAGCAAACAGGAUUAGAUACCCUGGUAGUCCACGCUGUAAACGAUGAGUGCUAGGUGUUGGGUAGCGAUAUUCAGUGCCGGAGUAAACACAAUAAGCACUCCGCCUGGGGAGUACGGUCGCAAGACUGAAACUCAAAGGAAUUGACGG